CUCCAUUCCAGGCUUUUCUGUGUCCAUCGGCUGUGCUCCUCGGUGCUGGGCUUAGAGGAGUAGAAGACGGGAGAGCCAGCUGCUGCCUGCUGGAAGCUGGAGUCUGCAGUACUGCGGUUCGCCUUGCUGCAGCUCACCUCACUGUGGUUGGCGGUAGCCACGAACGCAUGCCCCUGGAGCGACUUUACCUUGUGGGUUCACAGGGGAGACUACUGUUGCUAAACCCUGCUGAGCAUCGUUUCUGGUGGGCAGAGUUGACAAGCCACCUGCUUCUUCACUACUCCUGACUCAUCUCUGCAGAGCAGACACACCUCACUUUUUGGGCAUCACUGAAGAAUGUUCUGACUUUACCUUUUGGGUUCAGAGGGGAGACUGCUGUUGCUAAGCCCUGCUGAGCAUCAUUUCUGGUGUGGCAGAGUUGACAAGCCACCUGCUUCUUGACUACUCCUGACUCAUCUCUGCAGAGCAGACACACCUCACUUCUUGGACAUCACUAAAGAAUGUUCUGGUAAGUAAAUUUUUCAGGAUUCAAAGCUUACUGCUCAGAACACUCAGCUUUAGAAACCUGGAACUAUUUUGCCCAUUAAAAUCUGGGCUCACUGCAACCUCUGCCUCCCGGGUUCAAGCAGUUUUCUUGUGCUAGCCUCCUGAGUAGCUGGGAUUACAGGUGCCUGCCACCACGCCCAGCUACAUUUUAUAUUUUCAGUAAAGAUAGAGUUUCACAGCAU
Long non-coding RNA from Callithrix jacchus (white-tufted-ear marmoset), 728 nucleotides. RefSeq lists it as uncharacterized. Lineage: Eukaryota; Metazoa; Chordata; Mammalia; Primates; Cebidae. The record is from RefSeq and is a predicted model, not a curated record.